GGCGACGUCGCCAAGUGGUCUAAGGCAGCGGUUUGCAAAACCGCCAUCUCGUGGGUUCAAAUCCCACCGUCGCCUCCA
RNAcentral lists this transfer RNA (78 nucleotides) under Candidatus Peregrinibacteria bacterium RIFOXYA2_FULL_41_18. RNAcentral's name for it is "tRNA-Cys". It matches the Rfam family "tRNA". Rfam says of the family: Transfer RNA (tRNA) molecules are approximately 80 nucleotides in length. RNAcentral also lists the same sequence under 2 other names. Lineage: Bacteria; Candidatus Peregrinibacteriota. The record is from RNAcentral.